Molecule: long non-coding RNA, 4298 nt
Filed under: Triticum aestivum (bread wheat)
Lineage: Eukaryota; Viridiplantae; Streptophyta; Magnoliopsida; Poales; Poaceae
Description: long non-coding RNA (TAES_LNC028183)
Rfam family: tRNA (bases 315-388)
Source: RNAcentral
UCAGUUUUAAUUUCGAUGUAUUCUGUAAUGUAAAUACAAUGAAAUUAAUUGUGUAAAAUGAAAUUUCAAUAAAAUAAAAAAGGAGUCUUCAUGUCCCGUUAUCGAGGACCUCGUUUAAAAAAAAUACGCCGUCUGGGAGCUUUACCAGGACUCACUAGAAAAACACCUAAAUCCGGAAGUAAUCUUAAAAAAAAAAUCAAUUCUGGGAAAAAGGAGCAAUAUCGUAUUCGUCUUCAAGAAAAACAGAAAUUGCGUUUUCAUUAUGGUCUGACAGAACGAUUCUAUUUAAGAAUGGGUAUGCCAUACACCCCGCGGGGAUUGUAGUUCAAUUGGUCAGAGCACCGCCCUGUCAAGGCGGAAGCUGCGGGUUCGAGCCCCGUCAGUCCCGAACUAGGGUUCAAUGAAUGGAGAAAUUUAUAUUUCCUUUUUCCAUGAAAAAAAGGGGCAGGGAGCAAGAUCAAAUACCCACAGGGCACCCUUACUUCACUUUUUUAUUUUGCAUCUCUCAUUAAAGAGGCAGGGAAGGCGUAUAGGAAUUUUUUUCACUACUCCCGAUCGAUAAAGAUAAAGAAAGACACACAUACGAUAUGUGGAUUAGUAGAAUUUAGGAUAUUAUAUUACUCUAUCUUUCUUUAUAUGGAAUAGAGUACCGGUAUUUUACCGGAAUCCAUACAUAAAUCGUAUUCCCUUUUUAGUUCAGACCUCUUUUCCCCAUCUCACUUCUACUGCUUAUUUGGAUGUCUAUGUGACCCAUAGAAAGUUGGUCAUAUAAUACAUACAUAAUUGUAUGUAUAACUAUAAGAAAAAGGAAGGGAAAUUGUAUAAGAUUAAGAAAGUAUAAGAUUAAGAAAGCUCGUGGGUUAGAGAUAUAGAAAAGAAAAAGUAGAAAAGGAUUAAAAAAGAGGGAAUUCCUAAUCCAAUCAAAAAACCCAUUUUGGUCUUAGUGUGGAUAGAGGAUCUUCCUAUGUUAUACUAUAUAACUCUCAUCCGUGAAAUAUAACUCUCAUCCAUGAAUUGAUUUGAUAGAUCCGAUAUUCAUAAUAUUGAAUUGAUUCAGUAUUAUCAGAAUGCAAGCCCCACCCUUGAAUUUACAAGAUACCCCUUUUUAAUUUCUUCAAUGAUUAAUUGGAAUUCCAAUUAAUUAUUUUGGCUGACUGUUUUUACAUAAAUAAUAAGUAAAAAAGAAGUAGGAACUAGAAUGAACAGUGCAGUAGCAAUAAAUGCGAGAAUAUUGACUUCCAUAACCUCUUUAUUUUUUAUUUUCACAAUAACUCGGGAUGUAAUCCCAUGGAGAGGAAAAAGGGGUAUCUUGUAAAUUCAAGGGUGGGGCUUGCAUUCUGAUAAUACUGAAUCAAUUCAAUAUUAUGAAUAUCGGAUCUAUCAAAUCAAUUCAUGGAUGAGAGUUAUAUUUCACGGAUGAGAGUUAUAUAGUAUAACAUAGGAAGAUCCUCUAUCCACACUAAGACCAAAAUGGGUUUUUUGAUUGGAUUAGGAAUUCCCUCUUUUUUAAUCCUUUUCUACUUUUUCUUUUUUAUAUCUCUAACCCACGAGCUUUCUUAAUCUUAUACUUUCUUAAUCUUAUACAAUUUCCCUUCCUUUUUCUUAUAGUUAUACAUACAAUUAUGUAUGUAUUAUAUGACCAACUUUCUAUGGGUCACAUAGACAUCCAAAUAAGCAGUAGAAGUGAGAUGGGGAAAAGAGGUCUGAAAUAAAAAGGGAAUACGAUUUAUGUAUGGAUUCCGGUAAAAUACCGGUACUCUAUUCCAUAUAAAGAAAGAUAGAGUAAUAUAAUAUCCUAAAUUCUACUAAUCCACAUAUCGUAUGUGUGUCUUUCUUUAUCUUUAUCGAUCGGGAGUAGUGAAAAAAAUUCCUAUACGCCUUCCCUGCCUCUUUAAUGAGAGAUGCAAAAUAAAAAAGUGAAGUAAGGGGGCCCUGUGGGUAUUUGAUCUUGCUCCCUGCCCCUUUUUUUCAUGGAAAAAGGAAAUAUAAAUUUCUCCAUUCAUUGAACCCUAGUUCGGGACUGACGGGGCUCGAACCCGCAGCUUCCGCCUUGACAGGGCGGUGCUCUGACCAAUUGAACUACAAUCCCCGCGGGGUGUAUGGCAUACCCAUUCUUAAAUAGAACCAUAAGAAGAUUCGAUUCGUCUUUCGUACUCUAAGAAAUAGACGAAUCAUAUACUACAUACCCACAUAUUAUACGUGGGUAUAGUGAGAGUGACAUAACUAGUAUGUCGUGAUUUUUUAUCACUAAAAAUGGAUAAUAAUCCAGCCUUCAAUAAGAAAAACUCUUUUGUUUGUAAGAAAGGAAUGAGAGAGAUAUGGAUUAGAAAAAAAAUUUCCCUUUUUUCUUUAUCGAUCGGGAGUAGUGAAAAAAAUUCCUAUACGCCUUCCCUGCCUCUUUAAUGAGAGAUGCAAAAUAAAAAAGUGAAGUAAGGGUGCCCUGUGGGUAUUUGAUCUUGCUCCCUGCCCCUUUUUUUCAUGGAAAAAGGAAAUAUAAAUUUCUCCAUUCAUUGAACCCUAGUUCGGGACUGACGGGGCUCGAACCCGCAGCUUCCGCCUUGACAGGGCGGUGCUCUGACCAAUUGAACUACAAUCCCCGCGGGGUGUAUGGCAUACCCAUUCUUAAAUAGAACCAUAAGAAGAUUCGAUUCGUCUUUCGUACUCUAAGAAAUAGACGAAUCAUAUACUACAUACCCACAUAUUAUACGUGGGUAUAGUGAGAGUGACAUAACUAGUAUGUCGUGAUUUUUUAUCACUAAAAAUGGAUAAUAAUCCAGCCUUCAAUAAGAAAAACUCUUUUGUUUUUCUUCCAUUUGUUUUUCUUCCAUAAAAUAAAAUGUCUGAUCUAUAGAAAUAAAAGAUAAAGAAAAAAGGGAAAUUUUUUUUCUAAUCCAUAUCUCUCUCAUUCCUUUCUUACAAACAAAAGAGUUUUUCUUAUUGAAGGCUGGAUUAUUAUCCAUUUUUAGUGAUAAAAAAUCACGACAUACUAGUUAUGUCACUCUCACUAUACCCACGUAUAAUAUGUGGGUAUGUAGUAUAUGAUUCGUCUAUUUCUUAGAGUACGAAAGACGAAUCGAAUCUUCUUAUGGUUCUAUUUAAGAAUGGGUAUGCCAUACACCCCGCGGGGAUUGUAGUUCAAUUGGUCAGAGCACCGCCCUGUCAAGGCGGAAGCUGCGGGUUCGAGCCCCGUCAGUACCGAACUAGGGUUCAAUGAAUGGAGAAAUUUAUAUUUCCUUUUUCCAUGAAAAAAAGGGGCAGGGAGCAAGAUCAAAUACCCACAGGGCACCCUUACUUCACUUUUUUAUUUUGCAUCUCUCAUUAAAGAGGCAGGGAAGGCGUAUAGGAAUUUUUUUCACUACUCCCGAUCGAUAAAGAUAAAGAAAGACACACAUACGAUAUGUGGAUUAGUAGAAUUUAGGAUAUUAUAUUACUCUAUCUUUCUUUAUAUGGAAUAGAGUACCGGUAUUUUACCGGAAUCCAUACAUAAAUCGUAUUCCCUUUUUAUUUCAGACCUCUUUUCCCCAUCUCACUUCUACUGCUUAUUUGGAUGUCUAUGUGACCCAUAGAAAGUUGGUCAUAUAAUACAUACAUAAUUGUAUGUAUAACUAUAAGAAAAAGGAAGGGAAAUUGUAUAAGAUUAAGAAAGUAUAAGAUUAAGAAAGCUCGUGGGUUAGAGAUAUAAAAAAGAAAAAGUAGAAAAGGAUUAAAAAAGAGGGAAUUCCUAAUCCAAUCAAAAAACCCAUUUUGGUCUUAGUGUGGAUAGAGGAUCUUCCUAUGUUAUACUAUAUAACUCUCAUCCGUGAAAUAUAACUCUCAUCCAUGAAUUGAUUUGAUAGAUCCGAUAUUCAUAAUAUUGAAUUGAUUCAGUAUUAUCAGAAUGCAAGCCCCACCCUUGAAUUUACAAGAUACCCCUUUUUCCUCUCCAUGGGAUUACAUCCCGAGUUAUUGUGAAAAUAAAAAAUAAAGAGGUUAUGGAAGUCAAUAUUCUCGCAUUUAUUGCUACUGCACUGUUCAUUCUAGUUCCUACUUCUUUUUUACUUAUUAUUUAUGUAAAAACAGUCAGCCAAAAUAAUUAAUUGGAAUUCCAAUUAAUCAUUGAAGAAAUUAAAAAGGGAUUAAAUAAAAAAAAUCCAAGUCUUAAAUGAAAGGAUCUGGUUGGAAUCUUAAAGUGUGGUAGAAAGAACUACAUAUAGUUUUUUCUACGACACUUUAGAUUCUUUCUAUUAUAUUAUCUUUGAAUCUACAUAGAAUAGAAUAGAUUAGUAGAUUGAAAUAGUUAAGUAGUCUAAUUCAAUUUC